CAUCACUUCGAGCACUGAAGAAACGCGAGAAGACAUCAUGGCGGGAUUCAUGAAAUAUGAAAGUAUCAGAGUGCCACUCCUCUCAUCAUAGAAAUUAAAGAUGGACAAGAGAUCAAAACACGUAACGCCCAGCAUUUUUGCUAUACUAAUACCAUCACACCUGGAUGGAGGGAAACGUGGACUAGAAUGCAGAAAAUUCAGACUGGGCAAGCUAAGGACGCCACAGGAGGAAAGGAGGAUACCGAGAUGGAAUUGGGAAACCUUCCUUAGGAUGCUUCUCUCCAGGAGCUCAGGGACAUGUUCCAGAUACACAUUGAGAUGCAGCAGGCACUAGACAGCCGUAUGGAGCAAGAGGCAGCUCGUCAGGAAGCCAGAUGGAAGUCCAUGUAUCAUCAGUUUAGUCUACUCCAACAAGAGGUACAUGUCCGCACCACUCCUGUACUUAAUCCAGGGCUUGGCAGUAGUAGCCAUGAUGACGCUGUGUCUCAUCCUUCCAUACAACAAACUCUAGUGUUCCAACAGAGUCCUAGUUGCAGACAACCAGUGGCAUCACCAGUUUUCCAGCAGUACAACUACCCUGGGCUAGGACAGCUGGCAGUACAAAGAGAGCUUCACCUGCAACAGCUAUCUGAGUUAGAUGACAUAGAGCACAGCCUUACAACAUUUGAAAGAAAAGCUGUGGUGUGUCAGUAGCCGACAACCGACUGGGCAGUUAGAUUAGUGCCCCUGCUGACCGGCAUAGCUAGGAGCGCCUAUGUACAUAUGGACAUUGCUGAAUCACUCGACUAUGAGAAAUUUAAAGUGACCAUUUUGAAUAAAUAUGACAUCAACUCUGAAAGCUAUCGCCUGCAGUUCAGGUCUUCAGAUGUAGGGAGGGAUGAAACCCCAAAGCAGUUAAUUGUAAGACUGAAAGAACUGUAUCACAUGGGUUCAGCCUCAUAACCGAACCAAAGAAGAAAUUGGGGAAGUGAUUGUUCUGGAACAAUUUCUGCGUAUUCUAGCCACUGACCUGCAGAUAUGGAUCAAAGAACGUGACCCAAAAACUGCUGCUGCAGCUUUGGUGGAUGUUUUUAUGUCAGCUUGACGAAAGAGCCCAGUAUGGACUAACAGCCAGUGGACGGGGUCCAAAGAAUCAAAGAGUCAGGCCAAGAUGACUUCAAUCUGGACCAAGACCACAAGUGAGGGUGAGAGUAUGGAGCACCAUAAAACUGAAGGUGACUAUGGUCAAUGAUGAGCAGGAUCUGCAGGAGCUUGAGAAUUUCAGCAUCUGGAAACUCGUGCAGUAUUUCAUUUGCGAACAGACUAACGAGACUACCGUGAGCGUCAGUAUCUUUAGCAACAAGACAUGUUUCCGAGUGGACCCCUCAGACUCACGGACGCUUUAUACAGUACAACUCAGUUGAUGGUUCAUCAGUUUUGCAGUGUGUUACCGUUAUGGCCCCCUGAUGGAGGAGCGAAGUAUCAACAUCCUGUCCUGGACAUUGCAGAUAUUCGGCCUUCUGCUGGUGCAUCCUGGAAUUCAGGUCCAGCAAGUGGCUUUUGUUUUCAUGGUGGCUGCAUUUUGCUCCAAGAACCUGGAGUACCAUUUUUCCAUGGCUUUCCAGCUGUAUCAGAAACUGAAGCCAAAGAAACUAGAACCAUGACAACUGCUCUCCGAAGAGGACUAUCAGAGACAGGGAGGUAGAGACUCAGAAAGCUCUAGAGGAACUGAGGAAAUAUUGCAGCAGACCAGAGUUAAACACAUGGAAGACUGUUUCUUGACUCCAGUCUCCUAAAAGAUAUGAGAGAGAUUAUUCUUGAGACAAAUUACAUUUAUACUGUUUAUAUAAAAAUGUAAAUGUAUUAUAUAAUGUAGUCCCUUUAUAAAGUUUCAUGAAAUGCUAUUUUUAUUUUUUUUUAUCAUCCACUGAUAAUGUCAGUAAAGUUUUUUUUGCACCAAAACUGUCAUAGUUUAAUAAUAAAUGAUAAUUUUCCACCUUGUUUCUGGCCCUCUGUCUGAAAUGCUUGGUUUUGGCCUCAGUGACUCCUUUAAACUUCAGUGUAAACGCCCACUGUUCUGAUUGGCCAAUAUCAUGCAGCCCCUCAAAUUCAGCCAUAUUUGAAACUCAAUCGGAAGAGAAUAAACAAGCUCUCCACAACAUUAUAAAACUAAAUUUCAGGUUUACACACAAUGCACAUCCAAUAUAUUGCAUCCGAACAUAUGAAAUAUUCAUGAAUGAAACUGUUUUAGAGUUGCGCGGUUUACAGGUACUAACGAAGUACCACGAUACCAAAAAAAUUACAAUGGUACGAUAUCAUCUUGUUACUAAUUUCGGUACUAUAUUACAGUAUGCUCUCAUUAGCAAAAUGAUAUGAGAUGUGACAGUUUUGAGAUAAAAUCAAUGACCAUUUGAAAAUAAAAUAAAAAAACCUUUGGAUAUGGCCAAGUGUGAUCUUUUAAACAGCAAAAGGAUGUAAUUUAAUUAAAUAAGUCACAUGCGCUGCACGCUACAGAAUGAACAAGAGGUGCCACUCUGCUCUAUCAUAUGAAACACACAGGCGCGCACACACAGGCGCACGCAUGCGCGCACGCUCACACAAAUGCAACACGCACUACUGGUGCUUAAUUUUCAUGCAGUGUGUUUAGAGUAUAAACGGCUGUUAACACUUAAAUGAACUUCUCUGGUGCAGCUCGGAGAUUUCAGCUUGAGGGUCGCAACGGGAGUAUCCCGGCAUUAAUGGGAAGCUUGAUAUAACUAACCCGAAAAACAGGACGAACUCAAAGGUCUGUCAUAAUAAAAGCUCUAUUCAAAUGGAUGUGUAAAAUUGAAAACAGAAAUAUAUAACUACUUUAUAAAAAUGUAAUAUUCAAAAAGUAGCAAUAAUACUCAUAAUUAUUUAAUAUUAAACAGUAUUAAUAUUAUUAUCUGUAAGCAUUAUCACAAACGCAAGCAGCGCUGUGCUACAGGUAAUCAGAUUUUUUUCAUUAAUGUUUUCAUUAAUAGGGUGAAGCUCUGUUGUGCAGCAUUUUAUUUUACCAAAAAUGAAAUUAAACUUUUUUUGUAAAAAAACAAAAAAAACAAAACAAAGCAUUGAUAUUUUUAUUUGAUUAAUACUGUAUGUAUCAAUUUGAUUAAACAACAUUUGAUCAUAACAUUUAAUUAAAACAUUUAACAUGGAAACGGAAAACGCAUAAUUUGAAUCUGUAAGACUUUAUGCAGUUCUUUUUAUCAAAUAAUUUUCUGUGAAAUUUCAGAAAUACUCAAAGCUAAUCUAAUGGAUAGUGGUGUACUUUUAGACGUAGAGUCAGGGCAAGCAGUUACUAAAAUAACCUCUCCUUCAGGGAGGUCGGCAUGCUCUUUAACGUUUGAGCAGCAAAAAGAGUUAUUACAGCUUGAGUUAGAGCGUGUAAAACAACAAAGUGAACAAGGCAACCUUGAGCUUCAGAAAUACAGUCUAUAUUUGAUUCAAGCUGGUAAACUUGGUAAUGAGCGUCCUUCUGAUUUUUCUUAGCGUGAUCCUUCAUUCGACACCGUUGGAAAUGUGCAGUUGUUACUGAAAUUUUAUGAGAAAGAUCCUGAUAUAUUUUUCACAUUGUUUGAGCAUGUGGCUGAUGCAAAAAGUUGGCCUGAUAAACAUAGGUCAAUGAGGCCAAUGAGGCCAGUGCCCAGGGGCCCUUGACUAGGUCUCGCGGCCCAUCAACUUUGAAAACAAAUGUUUAUAUAUGCUUAAAUGUGUGGGCCCCAGAGCUUAUACAAGGCCCCCUCAACAGGGCCCUGUGACUAUGACGGCCCCCAGCCCUCUUAUAGGACCCUUUUGCCUUCCUGUUUCUAAUAAAAAAAUUUG
Long non-coding RNA from Myxocyprinus asiaticus (Chinese sucker), 3825 nucleotides. RefSeq lists it as uncharacterized. The transcript has 6 exons. NCBI's taxonomy places the organism in Eukaryota, Metazoa, Chordata, Actinopteri, Cypriniformes, Catostomidae. The record is from RefSeq and is a predicted model, not a curated record.